Molecule: RNA transcript, 1446 nt
Organism: Camponotus floridanus (Florida carpenter ant)
Lineage: Eukaryota; Metazoa; Arthropoda; Insecta; Hymenoptera; Formicidae
Exons: 5
Source: RefSeq, a predicted model, not a curated record
AGCUCGAUCAUCGUUUGCGUUAUUUGCAUUGAUCAGUCUUGAUUUGUACUUGCAAUACAUCUCUUAGAAUUGUUCUACAAUUAAAAAGUCUAUUCUGCGAUUUAAAAGUCAUUUUACAAGAAAAACUUUGAUUUUAAAAAUGUUUGCAGUAAUUUUUGCAUUUAUGCUUGUGACAACAUAUGCAGCUGAAAUACCCUCCUACAUCAACGUGUGUGGGCGCCAGAAUCUCAAUCAAUGCAUCAAAGACAAUAUGAACAAUUUAAAGAGUAAAAUUUGCGAAGGGCUUACGGAUUUAAAUAUUCCACCACUUGAGCCGCUCAAUAUUGACAAAUUAGUCAUUUCCGAAACUGCCAACAACAAAAUAUAUAUAAAUAAUGUACAAAUAACGGGACUUUGUGAUUUCAUCGUAAACUCUAUUUCUGUAGAUUUGGAUAAGAUUAUUUUCAAUAUUGACACUUCAUUCAAUCGACUUUACUUAAAUGGCACGUAUGAUAUCGACAUACAUAUACUCGUGCCUAUUGCUUAUAAGGCACCUAUUUAUCUUACUACAGAUAACGCAAGUAUAAAAAUAAUCAUGCAAGCGUCAAAGGCAAUUAAAAAGGGUAUAGAACAUUUAUAUGUAUCGGAAUUAAAAUCAAAUAUCGAUGUUAAAGGAUAUGACGCUCAAUAUGGUUUGAAAGAAAAUGAACUAAGUCAAUUAGGCCAAAUUCUUGGCGGUCUUAUAGGCAGCAAUCAGGAGGAAUUUCUUCAAAGAUUGAUUCCGUUAAUAGAGGAAGAGAUCUCCAAAUGGCUUAUCUCAAUUGUCAACAGUGUAUUUAAAACGUUCUCUUACGAGCAACUCUUGCCGCACCGUACAUAAAUAAUUUAGAACUUUACAUUGCAAGAUUGUUAUCUAAAGGAGAGUACUCUCCGGAUUGUCAAAAUUCCACAUUUUUUAAAGAAAGUCUAUGAAGAAGAAUCGGAGAAAAUCGUUGAAAACUGAUCUUUUUUUAUUAAGUAGGUUAAAAUAGAUAGGAAAUCUUUUUAUCGUUCAUCAAUUGAAUGUUUAUGAUUUAAGUUUUGUCUGAGAUAAAAUCUGUAAUAAAUUAAGAAUCGCAGAGCAAAUAAAUUAAUUCUUUGCUAAAAGAGUUGACAAGUAAAAGCAAAGAUUUAUAUUGGUUUUAGGCGGGUUAUUCCAUUAGAUAAAAUCCAAGACAAGUAAAAAUAAAAAAAUUAUCAUUUUUUUUCACUCACUGGACUUUUCCGAGACCAAUCCUUAUUAUUCUUUACUUGUUUCAAAUUUCUUGUACAAUUUAAAAUUAAUUUUAACUUAAAAAAAGUGCCGGGCUAAUUUCCCUUUCAUUACAAGCGACUAAGAGGACUUGCUAUAAAACUAACGAGUUAAAAAAUUAACUAAUUGUGAGCUCAACAUUGUAAAUGGAUAAUAAAAUCUUAUUUUUUGUUGAA